GGGCUGGUAGCUCAGUUUGGCAGAGCGACGGACUCUUAAUCCGUCGGUCGCGUGUUCGAAUCGCGCUCAGCCCG
RNAcentral lists this transfer RNA (74 nucleotides) under Halonotius pteroides. RNAcentral's name for it is "tRNA-Lys". It matches the Rfam family "tRNA". Rfam says of the family: Transfer RNA (tRNA) molecules are approximately 80 nucleotides in length. Their secondary structure includes four short double-helical elements and three loops (D, anti-codon, and T loops). Further hydrogen bonds mediate the characteristic L-shaped molecular structure. tRNAs have two regions of fundamental functional importance: the anti-codon, which is responsible for specific mRNA codon recognition, and the 3' end, to which the tRNAs corresponding amino acid is attached (by aminoacyl-tRNA synthetases). tRNAs cope with the degeneracy of the genetic code in two manners: having more than one tRNA (with a specific anti-codon) for a particular amino acid; and 'wobble' base-pairing, i.e. permitting non-standard base-pairing at the 3rd anti-codon position. Lineage: Archaea; Methanobacteriati; Methanobacteriota; Halobacteria; Halobacteriales; Haloferacaceae. The record is from RNAcentral.